RNAcentral lists this ribosomal RNA (586 nucleotides) under Candida tropicalis. Its description in RNAcentral is "LSU rRNA". It matches the Rfam family "Eukaryotic large subunit ribosomal RNA", at positions 64 to 667 of the family's 3401-position model. Lineage: Eukaryota; Fungi; Ascomycota; Pichiomycetes; Serinales; Debaryomycetaceae. The record is from RNAcentral.
ACCCCCGGGUAUUGCCUUAGUAGCGGCGAGUGAGCGGCAAAAGCUCAAAUUUGAAAUCUGGCUCUUUCAGAGUCCGAGAAGWAAUUUGAAGAAGGUAUCUUUGGGUCUGGCUCUUGUCUWUKUUUCUUGGAACAGAACGUCACAGAGGGUGAGAAUCCCGUGCGAUGAGAUGAUCCAGGCCUAUGUAAAGUUCCUUCGAARAGUCGAGUUGUUUGGGAAUGCAGCUCUAAGUGGGUGGUAAAUUCCAUCUAAAGCUAAAUAUUGGCGAGAGACCGAUAGCGAACAAGUACAGUGAUGGAAAGAUGAAAAGAACUUUGAAAAGAGAGUGAAAAAGUACGUGAAAUUGUUGAAAGGGAAGGGCUUGAGAUCAGACUUGGUAUUUUGUAUGUUACUUCUUCGGGGGUGGCCUCUACAGUUUAUCGGGCCAGCAUCAGUUUGGGCGGUAGGAGAAUUGCGUUGGAAUGUGGCACGGCYUCGGUUGUGUGUUAUAGCCUUCGUCGAUACUGCCAGCCUAGACUGAGGACUGCGGUUUAUACCUAGGAUGUUGGCAUAAUGAUCUUAAGUCGCCCGUCUUGAAACACGGACC